CGCUGCUUUCUUUAACGGAAAUUGAGCCCUAUAUUGAGGGAAAUUAGUUUUGCAGACUUCGUUCAAAAAAAAACUAAAACUUUUGUUCACCAGCUGCUCGACUUUUCAGUCUGGGGCUGAGCUGGAACCUGCCACAAGCCUUUCGCGGUAUUUUGUCUCAGCAACGAGAGAAAAGUAGGAUAGAGUCUUUCAAGGCCCAUCCAAGCAGUGUCUUCAGUGUGGACUGUGGAGAAAUCCAAAAUUAGAGAAUAUGCAUGUGAAGAGUACAGAGAUUUUGAGCAUUCUGCAAAAGAUACAAGUAGUGAACUGGCUUUUGAAAUUCCGCAUGGAGAAUAUGUCCCAACAACCACGAAUUACAUCCAGACAGCGCCAUCUACCAGUAGCACUCCAAACUGCAAAAGCGAAGCGAAAGCAGAAGAAGCUGUGCGAACUGGAGGACCACCACAAGCUCUGGGCUGAAGCGUGAGCACAUUUCCAAGACGAAGCAUAAAUACAUGCAUGAGUUACUGAAUCAGCUUGGGGAUUUGAAUGUGUUCUAAGAAGUCAAAGAGAAAAAUCUGCUUACAAACAUAA
This is a long non-coding RNA of Chinchilla lanigera (long-tailed chinchilla), 573 nucleotides long. RefSeq lists it as uncharacterized. The transcript is spliced from 4 exons. Lineage: Eukaryota; Metazoa; Chordata; Mammalia; Rodentia; Chinchillidae. The record is from RefSeq and is a predicted model, not a curated record.